AUACGGAGGAUCCGAGCGUUAUCCGGAUUUAUUGGGUUUAAAGGGUGCGCAGGCGGCCAUUUAAGUCAGCGGUUAAAUCGUGGGGCUCAACCCCAUUCUGCCGUUGAUACUGGGUGGCUUGAUUGCGGUCGAGGUUGGCGGAAUUCGUUGUGUAGCGGUGAAAUGCAUAGAUAUGACGAAGAACACCGAGUGCGUAGGCAGCUGACCAGAACGCAAAUGACGCGCAUGCACGAAAGUGCGGGGAUCGAACAGGAUUAGAUACCCUGGUAGUCCGCACAGUAAACGAUGAAUACUUGUUUUCGGCGAUAUAAUGUCGGAGGGAAAGCGAAAGCGAUAAGUAUUCCACCUGGGGAGUACGCCGGCAACGGUGAAACUCAAAGGAAUUGACGGGG
RNAcentral lists this ribosomal RNA (392 nucleotides) under uncultured bacterium. Its description in RNAcentral is "partial 16S ribosomal RNA". It matches the Rfam family "Bacterial small subunit ribosomal RNA", at positions 523 to 918 of the family's 1533-position model. The record is from RNAcentral.